Molecule: long non-coding RNA, 313 nt
Organism: Leptidea sinapis
Lineage: Eukaryota; Metazoa; Arthropoda; Insecta; Lepidoptera; Pieridae
Exons: 3
Source: RefSeq, a predicted model, not a curated record
GUGAAAUGACGUAUAAAUAAGCAAAUAACACUUAAAUUAUAACUACCAAAUUACAAUGUUUUCAAGUCCUGUUUGUUAUUUCAGCAUAAUAGUAAUUGUCUUUAAUAACAUGAUUCAUGUGCAAUCCGAAUUUAACGAGUCAUUCCCAGAAGAUGGCGAUAUCAAUAAUAAUAGCAAAGGAUAUUCUUCGGAUUUAUUGACUGUUGCAAAAGACGCAAGCCAUGUUUUCAGUAAAGUUGUCAGCAAAAUUUUGUCAAAAAAACGGCUAUUAGGUCUAAAUACUAAUUGGUAUUGGUGACUAAUAAAAUCAUUC